GACGAACGCUGGCGGCGUGCCUAAUACAUGCAAGUCGAACGCAGUGGGGACGGGUGAGUAAAACGUGGGUAACCUCCCAUCAGAGGGGAUAACACUUGGAAACAGGUGCUAAACCGAUACUGAUGGAUGGACCAGCGGUGAAUUAGCUAGUUGGUGAGGUAACUGCUCACCAAGGCCACGAUGCAUAGCCGACCUGAUAGGGUGUCCGGCCACCCUGUGACUUAUACACGCCCCAGACUCCUACGGUAGGCACCAGUAGGGAAUCUUCGGCAAGGGACGAAAGUCUGACCGAGCAACGCCGCGUGAGUGAAGAAGUUUUUCGGAUCGUAAAACUCUGUUGUUAGAGAAGCGGUAUCUAACCAGAAAGCCACGGCUAACUACGUGCCAGCAGCCGCGGUAAUUC
Molecule: ribosomal RNA, 403 nt
Filed under: uncultured bacterium
Lineage: Bacteria
Description: partial 16S ribosomal RNA
Rfam family: Bacterial small subunit ribosomal RNA
Source: RNAcentral